AUAAAUAAACUGAAAUGAAUUAGAAGAGACUCAGCCACACAUGCCAGCGAACUAGCUAGGAGUCUCUGGACUGAAGGCACGCUCCCAAUCUACUGCUGCGGUCCGUAAGUUGUCUCCUGACCUGUGCACAAAAUGCACAGAAGUGUAGCAUCAGCACUACCGACCCCAUGUGCUGGUAAGUGCCUGGCCUAACUCCGGCGAAGUAGUGACGAGGCUAUACAUGACCUACCACAAUCAACCUGUGCAAUAUGAUAUACAAGUACGGGAAAAAAACAAUAACAAAAUAAUACAAGUAAAGCUGGGAGGGGACAUGCUAUCGUGGAGUACUAGUUGAAAAUAGAACAUCAGAAAAAAAAAGCAAAUCUAUUCCGGGUUUCAUGAUACAUAUAUAUCUACAGUGGACGGCACGUCACACGAUCCCAUAAUGUAUAAUCUAAGUGGACGGCACGCUACACGAUCGCGUAUUGUAGUAUAUAAGUGGACGGCGCGCCACAUGAUUCCAUUUUCUCCGUGCACAAUGUCACUGACAUCUCAGGCCUAUAACAAUAAUCAAUAUAAGUUGUGGUCGGCGUGCCACACGAUCCUGUUUUAUAAUUCAUAAGUUAUGCCAUAUUUUUCGAAUUAAAAGCAUUUACGACUCACAGUCAUGCUAGACACCGGUGUAUAGAUACUCGUCACCAUACCUAUACACUGUAUUCGAUCAUUUAACAAAUAGCAAUCAAACACUCUAAUCCUAUUCCCUCAAGCCAAAGUUAGAUCAAACACUUACCUCGAAAGCUCCAAACUCAACUCACACCUCAGGAUAGCUUUACCAAUCGAAUUCAUAACAAGACCGCUCGAAUCUAGUCAUAAGUUACUCAAAGAUAUCAACAAAUGCUAGUUAAACUAAUUUGAAUACAUAAGGACGCAUUUCCCAAAGUUUAGCCUAAACAUUCCCAAAACGCCCCCGGCCCCACGUGGUCAAAACCCGAGGUUCGAAACAAAAUUGGAUUACACAUCCCCCCGAAUCUAAUCACAAUUUACUCAAAUGUAUCAACAAAUGCUAGUUAAAUAAAUUUGAAUGCAAUAAGAAUAAUUUUCUCAAAGUUUUGCCCAAAAAUUUCCAAAUUUCCCCCGGGUCCACGUGGUCAAAACCCGAGGUUCGAACCAAAACUGGGUUACCCAUAUAUAUAUAUAUAUAUGUAUAUAGUUUUGAAAUCGAAUCUCAAAUUGAGGUCCAAAUCCUUUUUCCCAAUUUUAAGAAAAUCUAGAUUCUACCCCAAAUCCCCAUUUUUGCCCAUGGAAAACCUUGAUUUUGAGAUGGAAACAUGAUAAAAGAUGUUAAAGAGUUAAGAAAUUGAGUGAAAAUUGACUUACAAAUGAUUUGGAGAAGAGAGAGUUCGUGAAAAAUCACCAGCGAGUGUUUGGGUUUUGAAAAUAUGAAGAAUGAGGUUUAAAAAUCGUCUAAGUAAGAAGCAUACAGGUGCAAAUAUCGCAAUUGCGAAUCCAACAGGCUUGGGAUUUGCGAGGUUUUACUUCGCAUUUGCGAAGUUGGGCCAUUUUGGGGAGUAUCGCAUUUGCGGACAUUUGAUCGCAUUUGCGAUCUUAGGCCAACUCCCCUUCCUCACAUUUACGGGGAAAAGUUCGCUUUUGCGAACAUUGGCCUGCCUGUGCUCAUCUCACAUAUGCAAACCAACACUCGCAUUUGCAAUGGCUGGGCAUUUACUUUUGCGAUUCCUGGCUUCACAUAUGUGAAAAUUGCAAAAGCCUCAUAAUAGAUUUUUCAAAAUAUGAGAAAUGUAAUCUGAUGCCUAUCCAAAACUCACCCGAGCCCUCGGGGCUCCAACCCAAGCAUACACACAACCUCAGAAACAUCCCACGGACCUACUCGCGCAAUCAAAUCGCAAAAAUAACAUCAUUUACAUGGAAUCAAGCCUCCAAACUCAUGAAUUUCAUGUCAAAGUUCUUAACUUCCAUAUCUUCCAUUUUUAGUCCGAAACACGUCAAACGACGUCCGAUUUCGACCAAAUUUUCACAGAAAGCGUUUAACGCUCAUUUAAGACCUGUACCGGGCGUUGGAACCAAAAUAAGAGCCCGAUACCAUUACUUUCUAACUCAUUUUCAUUUCAAUUUCUCAUAUCAUUUUCAGAUAAACAAUUUCUUUAAAAAAUUCCGUACUCGGGCCUGGUACCUCAGAUUUCGAUUACGAAAAUACGCCUGGGUCCCAUAUUUUCCUACCGUUUACUCAAAAUGUUGACCAAAGUCAACUAUAUCAAUAUUAUUAUCAAAAUUCAUAGUUUAAUACAAAGUUCAUAUAUUUCCACAUAAAUAUUUUCUGGCUUCACGCCCCGACUGCGCACGCAAAUCGAAACAACCAAAUAAGAGAUUUUCAAGACCUCAGAAGCACGAAGAAAGGAAAAAUUACGAUAAUGACCCUUUGGAUCGUCACAAUACCGAACAAACUCUAAUCAACUUAACAACAAUUUACGUGCUUAUAUAUUCGUAACAAAUUUCGAGUAAAGAAAAUAAUUGGAGUUACGAAACAUGUGUAGACAAUCACUUCCUUAAUAAAUGUGAGAAUACAACUGUGCGUAUCCAUUGAUUUUGUCUUUAAUAUAAUUUUCUUUCUUUCUUUUUUUUUCCUUGGAUGGCACAAAUAUCAUAUUUCUGGAAUGAAGAAUGACGACGAUCUCAUUAUGGUGUUAUCGGUCAUCAAGAAAAGUUUGAUAGCACUUAGACUUAUUUUGAAGCUCUUAUCUAGAUAUCUCAUUCCUGUCUUCUUUGUUUUGAUCUCAUUUCAAGUCGAAAAGAUGUCCUGAUUUCUUUGUUCUUGAAAACAACCAAUAUAUAUUUACAGUUGUAGAAUAGAUAGCAGUGCGGUAAAUAAGGUCCUUUGCCAAAUUUGAUUGACUCAUUUGAUUUGUUAACCAAUCAAAUUGGAUAUUUUAGCGUAAUUUGAUAGGACCAUAUUUGAUUUGUUGAAAAAUGUCAUUAAACCGCCUAGCCUACGAAUUGAGUAAUAAACUAACAAUCUUGGUUUUGGAUAAUGUGUUCUGAUUAUACUAUUUAGCACAAGUUUAUGCCCGAGUUCAACCCGUGCUAUCUGUACAUCAUACCCCUUUAUAAUUUUAAAAAUAAUAAGAUAAUUCUUUUAGAUCUCAUUUCCAUAAAAGACAAAUCUUUUACUAUAUCUUUUAUGUAUGAAAAAAGAGAUAGGAUUAUAAAAUUAAAAACAAAUUUAUAAAGAGUUAUAAAACCAAUUGACCGAUGUUUAAAAUUGUCAUACAUCUCACACACACGUAAACAUAUUUACGACAGCGUUGUUAGAGAAAAUAGGCAUUGCCUAGUGUUUCUUAUGCUGUCCAGUGUAAUGUAAAUGGAGGCGUUGCACCAUGGAACUCAUCGAGUUCAGUAUUCUUUAUGCGAAACACAUAAAAAUUACUAAAAAAGUAACAAAUAGUAUAUUUGAACGCAUAAUUUUAAAAAACAUAAUGGAUACGGUGCCAAAAUCUUAAAGUCUGAAUCAAAAGAGUUGCCUCUAAAUAUAAGGUCGACAAAUAUACUUAUAUUGGAUCAGAUGAUAAAAAUAUUCAUCGAUGUUUGUGUCUUGAAUUUGAACUGAUUCUAUGAAUGAUCACAGAGUAUUGAUUAUAUGGAUCCAAUAUCAGGUUCACGAGUUCCAAUUUCACCCAAACUACACAUAUAUCAGGCAAAAAUUUUACAUCAGAAAAAAGUCUGAAAUUUUCUAUUACCAUUUCAGAUCAGAAUCCAUACAGUUUCAUUCCCUAUCUUAUUAAUCAUAUUCAAACCAAAAUAAAUAAAUAGAAAUAUAUUUUGACAAGAACUUGCAAGCAUAUAUAAAUGUUUUGUAUCAGUUGCUAGGACAAAGUGGUUCCAAUUUUAUAAUUCCAAUUGGAAAGUAAUAAGUCUAGCUAAUAAGUGUAGUAGUAAUUUAAGCUAUGAGACAAGAGUGUAAUCAAUGAUUAAGCAACAUAACUAAGCUAUUUUCAAACAGGUCAACAUACACAAACGAGAACAAACAAAUCAAAUCCAGAUCCAUCAAAAUAAGAAAGCAAAAUCUAAAAACAGAAGGCGAAUAUCUCUGUUUUAUCCAAAUAUAAACGCUGUACAUUCAACAUACUUGUGUGACUCCACGAACCGACUCGCCGGAAUUGCGUGUUGCCGCCGUGUAAGGAUUUGGAAGCAGAAGGUGGCGAUGGAGGUAAAAAUGUUUCCGGUUCGUCGACUCAUCUGCGACCGGUCCAAAUCGGGCCGGUUCAUAGCGGCGCCGCCGUGUUAGGCGGUGAAGUAGAAGAUAGGUUGAAGAAGAAGGUAGAGGAAGAUGAAGCAAGUGCUUGACGCUGCUAAGAACACCAAUCCGUACAGAGUUCGAACCGCCAUUGAAGAAGAUUCUGGAGUUGAUAGGAAAGAGAUUUGAGAUUUAGAUCUGGAAAGUAGUGGUGGGGAAGUUCGAUUUUAAAUAAGAGACUGUAAAAGCUUCCUGAUUUGAAAUUUGAAUGUGAAAAAGGACUUAAAAGGGAAAAUGGAUAAGGCUAUAGCAAAAUAUAAUAAUUUUAAAGAAGAAUGAAGAUAAGGUUAAAGGUCUAUAGCAAUAACAAUUUACAAUAUUUUAAUCUAUUAAUUU
Molecule: long non-coding RNA, 4624 nt
Filed under: Nicotiana benthamiana
Lineage: Eukaryota; Viridiplantae; Streptophyta; Magnoliopsida; Solanales; Solanaceae
Description: long non-coding RNA (NBEN_LNC018165)
Source: RNAcentral